CCCUUAGAUGUUCUGGGCCGCACGCGCGCUACACUGAUGCAUUCAACGAGCCUAUCCUUGACCGACAGGUCCGGGUAAUCUUUGAAUCUGCAUCGUGACGGGGAUAGAUUAUUGCAAUUAUUAAUCUUCAACGAGGAAUGCCUAGUAGGCGCAAGUCAUCAGCUUGCGUCGAUUACGUCCCUGCCCUUUGUACACACCGCCCGUCGCUCCUACCGAUUGGGUGUGCUGGUGAAAUGUUCGGAUCGGCCGUUUGUCGCGGUUUCCGCGUCAUGUGGCUGAGAAGUUCAUUAAACCCUCCCACCUAGAGGAAAGAGAAGUCGUAACA
This 325-nucleotide ribosomal RNA is filed under the name uncultured eukaryote. RNAcentral's name for it is "partial 18S ribosomal RNA". It matches the Rfam family "Eukaryotic small subunit ribosomal RNA", at positions 1470 to 1796 of the family's 1831-position model. The record is from RNAcentral.